CAGUAGCCACGGUAAUACGAAGGGUGCAAGCGUUACUCGGAAUUACUGGGCGUAAAGCGUGCGUAGGUGGUUUGUUUAGUCUGCUGUGAAAUCCCCGGGCUCAACCUGGGAAUGGCAGUGGAUACUGGCAAGCUAGAGUGUGUCAGAGGAUGGUGGAAUUCCCGGUGUAGCGGUGAAAUGCGUAGAGAUCGGGAGGAACAUCAGUGGCGAAGGCAGCCAUCUGGGACAACACUGACGCUGAGGCACGAAAGCGUGGGGAGCAAACAGGAUUAGAUACCCCUGUAGUCCCUGUCUCUUAUAA
Molecule: ribosomal RNA, 301 nt
Filed under: uncultured bacterium
Lineage: Bacteria
Description: partial 16S ribosomal RNA
Rfam family: Bacterial small subunit ribosomal RNA
Source: RNAcentral